This 409-nucleotide unclassified non-coding RNA is filed under the name fungal sp. Its description in RNAcentral is "partial internal transcribed spacer region". The stretch from base 1 to 46 matches the Rfam family "Eukaryotic small subunit ribosomal RNA", at positions 1786 to 1831 of the family's 1831-position model. Lineage: Eukaryota; Fungi. The record is from RNAcentral.
AAGUCGUAACAAGGUUUCCGUAGGUGAACCUGCGGAAGGAUCAUUACCACGUAAAAAAAAAAAUCCAAACCUUUUUUCAACAAACCCAUGCCCGUGUGAAAACGUUGGACCACGAAAAGAACAGAGAGAGAACCAAAAAUGAAUCGAGGCGUGUGUGUGUGUGUGUGUUUUGUGCGUGCGUACAUUUCUAUGUGUGCGCGCGCACACGCACCACCACCACCACCCUCUUUUCCUUUUUGCCCCUCUCUCUCGCUCUUUUUCAAUUCAUUUUACUUAGCCCCCACGUCCCCCUUUUCCCUUUUUUUUUUCCGUCUCUGGAAGAAAAAAAGAACGAAAUGGUUUGAGACAUUUUGAAAAAAACAAAACAAAAAACGAGAGACAACUUUUAACGGUGGAUCUCUUGGCUCGU